AAUCAACGCUGGCGGCGUGCCUAACACAUGCAAGUCGAACGCGGUGUUCCCGCAAGGGAGCACUGAGUGGCGAACGGGUGAGUAACACGUGGGUGACCUACCUUCGAGUGGGGGAUAACGUUCCGAAAGGAACGCUAAUACCGCAUAACAUCCUGCCUUUGAACAGGCGGAGAUCAAAGCCGGGGAUCGCAAGACCUGGCGCUGGAUGGAGGGGCCCGCGUCCGAUUAGCUAGGUUGGUGAGGUAAUGGCCCACCAAGGCGACGAUCGGUAACCGGCCUGAGAGGGCGGACGGUCACACUGGGACUGAGACACGGCCCAGACUCCUACGGGAGGCAGCAGUGGGGAAUUGUUCGCAAGUGGGCGCAAGCCUGACGACGCAACGCCGCGUGGAGGAUGACGGUCUUCGGAUUGU
RNAcentral lists this ribosomal RNA (413 nucleotides) under uncultured bacterium. Its description in RNAcentral is "bacterial SSU rRNA". It matches the Rfam family "Bacterial small subunit ribosomal RNA", at positions 29 to 426 of the family's 1533-position model. The record is from RNAcentral.